AAUUCCUCUCGUUAUACAGGUGGGAGACUAUUUAACUAAGACAUAAAAAUAUUCCUCUCAUUAUACAGGUGGACGCCUAUUUAACUAAGACAUAAAAAUAUUACUCUCGUUAUACAGUUGGGCGCCUAUUUAUCUAAGACAUGAAAAGUAUUUCUCUUGUUAUACAGGUGGGCGCUUAUUUAACUAAGACAUAAUAAUAUUCCUCUCAUUAUACAGGUGGGCGCCUAUUUAUCUAAGACAUAAAAGUAUUCCUCUCAUUAUACAGGUGGGCGCCUAUUCAUCUAAGACAUGAAAAUAUUCCUCUCGUUAUACAGGUGGGCGCCUAUUUAACUAAGACAUAAAAAUAUUCCUCUCAUUAUACAGGUGGGCGCCUAUUUAUCUAAGACAUGAAAAAUAAUCCUCUCGUUAUACAGGUGGGCGCCUAUUUAACUAAGACAUAAAAAUAUUCCUCUCAUUAUACAGGUGGGCGCCUAUUUAACUAAGACAUAAAAAUAUUCCUCUCAUUAUACAGGUGGGCGCCUAUUUAACUAAGACAUAAAAGUAUUACUCUCAUUAUACAGGUGGGCGCCUAUUCAUCUAAGACAUAAAAAU
This 591-nucleotide long non-coding RNA is filed under the name Nicotiana tabacum (common tobacco). RNAcentral describes it as "long non-coding RNA (NTAB_LNC010837)". Lineage: Eukaryota; Viridiplantae; Streptophyta; Magnoliopsida; Solanales; Solanaceae. The record is from RNAcentral.